CCAGCUGAACUACCCCAUAUAGAAAUGUUUUCCUGACAGCUGACGGGAAUUGGACGUUCCUAUAUCAAUUUUCUCAUGUUCAUCCAAGAAACUGUAAAUAGUCAUGAAAAUGCAGGAAGAGUGGAUGGGUCUUGCCCUUCGGUUGGGUUUUGUAUAGGACAGGUGCUUUGGACUUUGCUUAACGCUAUGUGGCAUUACAGGCUGGUGUGUCUUCCAAUGCACUGCCUUAUGCUAUUGUUUUAAACGAACAUUUGCCUACAUGCAAUAUCUGCCGUGCUGCAGAGCACCCCCCAACUCAGUGUCUUACAACUGUUCUUGCAGGAGUCUACAGUUCCUGCUGAGAGAGGCUGAAUCUGGCCAUUGCCGCUUUAUACGCUCACAGAGAAAUCCUAAGUGAUGGUCACAAAACAAGACUGUGGCCACGCUGGGAACCGAACUCAAGAAUAACUAGUUUCCAACCAUUUGUGGCACCAACUUCUAGGAGGCAGCGGAGGGUGCACAAAGUCCUGCUGCCGCCCAGCGCUGGGUGCCGGCGUGUUGAACAGAGGUGAAGGGCCGCCUCUUCCUCCACCGUGCCUGCCAGGCAAGAGGAGUCCAAGCAGCAGCCCAAGAGGCAAACGGAUUUAAGCAUCAGCCUAAAGAAGGCCUAUCGAUCCCAGCGAUACACAUGUCCGAGAGCCACAGACGAGGCUCCAUCCCUCCCUGGAGAACAUCCGUCGCUGCGUUGCCGCCCGGCACGCCAGCCCCAAGCGCCUCGCGCCGGGUGCAGGCAGGGCAGAGGGAUCAGCCCACGGCCCCGAACCCUGAGCCACUGCUGCAGCGAUGAGCAAAAGUACCAGGAACUGCUUCUCCCAAGGGAAGAACUCGCUGGAAUCCGGUGCUCACCUUUUCCCGUGGUUUUUCCCAUGUGCUGCCAGGAGCUGCAGCGUAUUCCCAAGCCUUGGGGACGCAUCUAUUGAAACAAGACCAAAGCUCAGCUACUCUUCAGCGCCCGAAGCUGACCUUUUCCAGGGGCACCUUGAUGGUUAAUGAUCCCAAACUACCAGCUGGCCUUAAAUUCACCGACUGCAGCCC
Molecule: long non-coding RNA, 1074 nt
Filed under: Struthio camelus australis
Lineage: Eukaryota; Metazoa; Chordata; Aves; Struthioniformes; Struthionidae
Description: lncRNA (ENSSCUG00000002365.1)
Source: RNAcentral